RNAcentral lists this transfer RNA (72 nucleotides) under Phrynosoma platyrhinos (Desert horned lizard). Its description in RNAcentral is "tRNA-OTHER". The record is from RNAcentral. Lineage: Eukaryota; Metazoa; Chordata; Lepidosauria; Squamata; Phrynosomatidae.
GCCAGCAUGGUGUAGUGGUUUGAGUGUUGGACUACCACUCUGGAGACCUGGGUUUGAUUCCCCGUUCUGACA